This 499-nucleotide ribosomal RNA is filed under the name uncultured bacterium. RNAcentral's name for it is "partial 16S ribosomal RNA". It matches the Rfam family "Bacterial small subunit ribosomal RNA", at positions 28 to 507 of the family's 1533-position model. The record is from RNAcentral.
GAUGAACGCUGGCGGCGUGCCUAAUACAUGCAAGUCGAGCGAACAGACGAGGGUGCUGGCGCUCUCUGGCGUGAGCGACGGGCGGGUGAGACACACGUAGGUAACCUACCUCUAAGGCAUAGAUAACUGCGAGAAACGCGAGCACAGGCCGGAUAAUAUUCAUCUUCGGAGGGAGGGAGAGUGAGGGACUGUUGUGCUGUGACUUGCACGUGGACCCGCGGUUUAUUGGCGGGUUGGUGAGGUAACGGCUCACCAAGGCAACGAUACAUAGCCGACCUGAGAGGGUGAUAGGCCACACUGGGACUGAGACACGGCCCAGACGCCUACGGGAGGCAGCAGUAGGGAAUCUGCCGCAAUGGACGAAAGUCUGACGGAGUAAUGCCGCGUGAGUGAAGAAGGUUUUCGGAUCGUAAAACUCUGUUGUAAGGGAAGAACAAGUACGUCAGUAACUGAACGUACCGUGACGGUACCUGAUCAGAAAGCCACGGCUAACUACGUG